This 1052-nucleotide ribosomal RNA is filed under the name uncultured bacterium. RNAcentral's name for it is "bacterial SSU rRNA". It matches the Rfam family "Bacterial small subunit ribosomal RNA", at positions 29 to 1057 of the family's 1533-position model. The record is from RNAcentral.
GGAAAAGGGCGGCAGCCUAACACAUGCAAGUCGAGCGGAAACGAGUUAACUGAACCUUCGGGGAACGUUAACGGCGUCGAGCGGCGGACGGGUGAGUAAUGCCUGGGAAAUUGCCCUGAUGUGGGGGAUAACCAUUGGAAACGAUGGCUAAUACCGCAUAAUAGCUUCGGCUCAAAGAGGGGGACCUUCGGGCCUCUCGCGUCAGGAUAUGCCCAGGUGGGAUUAGCUAGUUGGUGAGGUAAUGGCUCACCAAGGCGACGAUCCCUAGCUGGUCUGAGAGGAUGAUCAGCCACACUGGAACUGAGACACGGUCCAGACUCCUACGGGAGGCAGCAGUGGGGAAUAUUGCACAAUGGGCGCAAGCCUGAUGCAGCCAUGCCGCGUGUAUGAAGAAGGCCUUCGGGUUGUAAAGUACUUUCAGCAGUGAGGAAGGUGGGUAUGUUAAUAGCAUACACAUUUGACGUUAGCUGCAGAAGAAGCACCGGCUAACUCCGUGCCAGCAGCCGCGGUAAUACGGAGGGUGCGAGCGUUAAUCGGAAUUACUGGGCGUAAAGCGCAUGCAGGUGGCUUGUUAAGUCAGAUGUGAAAGCCCGGGGCUCAACCUCGGAAUUGCAUUUGAAACUGGCAAACUAGAGUACUGUAGAGGGGGGUAGAAUUUCAGGUGUAGCGGUGAAAUGCGUAGAGAUCUGAAGGAAUACCGGUGGCGAAGGCGGCCCCCUGGACAGAUACUGACACUCAGAUGCGAAAGCGUGGGGAGCAAACAGGAUUAGAUACCCUGGUAGUCCACGCCGUAAACGAUGUCUACUUGGAGGUUGUGGCCUUGAGCCGUGGCUUUCGGAGCUAACGCGUUAAGUAGACCGCCUGGGGAGUACGGUCGCAAGAUUAAAACUCAAAUGAAUUGACGGGGGGCCCGCACAAGCGGUGGAGCAUGUGGUUUAAUUCGAUGCAACGCGAAGAACCUUACCUACUCUUGACAUCUACAGAAACCAGCCGAAGACGCAGGUUGUGCCUUCGGGGAACUGUAAGGACAGGUGCUUCAUGGCCUGUCGUCA